Molecule: long non-coding RNA, 886 nt
Filed under: Equus asinus (donkey)
Lineage: Eukaryota; Metazoa; Chordata; Mammalia; Perissodactyla; Equidae
Description: lncRNA (ENSEASG00005029831.1)
Source: RNAcentral
UUUUCUUUUAAGAAUGAGACAGGGAGUUGAGUGGGUGACAAGUUAUUUUCUUUCUAAUGCUUAUGGGCUGUGACUAGAGCCUGCAAUGGAUGAGGACGGAGAGGACCAAAUUAGCUCAGAUUCUAUAUAGUUUACAGAACAGGCUGCUUUUAUUUGUUUUUAGAUAUGAGCCAAAAAAAUUAGAGGGAGGGGCAAAAAUAUCAAUGAAAAUAAUCCAUAGUUCUGAAGUGGAGAGAGUUUCUCAAUGUUUCCGAGUCAAAAUUACACUACAGCCCAGACAGCUUUCAAUUCACAAUCUCUUCGUUGAAUGACAGGAGAGAAGGAUAGGAGGAUAGGAGGAGAGAGCUGCUCAAAGGCUGCAGCUAUGGAACUCUGGCAACUUUGGGCCCUUGUUGGCAACAAUGGACUAGAGCUGAAAGCAAAUGCCCCCUCGAUGAAGAAACCAGCUCAUCCACAAACCACAGCGCAGCACGUCAGGAGUGCAAGAGAGGAAGUUAGGCUCACCAAGUUGCGAGGUCCUUAACAGCUGACAGGGCGAACCCUGUGAUCCUUCUCAAAUAUAUGUUAUGUUAACAUUUGCACUCGCAGCUAGAAGCAUCUUACUGACAAGGCACGAGAAGAUCUGCAAUUUCCCUCUUCCUCUCUGUGAGGCAGGGAGAGAGCAGGAUCCAAGUGAGGUGCCCACCAAAGAUGAGGCUUUGGUGCAAUGAAAGAUGCCAUUUCCCAGGCUAUGGAGAAGUUUCCAGGUUAAAGGAUGGAAACAGCAUUCUGCCUUCGGGAAGAAAGGGCAGGCAAAACCCCAGAAGGGUUUUUCUCAAAGCCUGGCCAAGCGAGCUGAGAUUUGCGGCAGGGCUAGACAGAAGAAAUCUGCUCCUUCAAGUUCCAG